This 1346-nucleotide ribosomal RNA is filed under the name uncultured bacterium. RNAcentral's name for it is "partial 16S ribosomal RNA". It matches the Rfam family "Bacterial small subunit ribosomal RNA", at positions 28 to 1381 of the family's 1533-position model. The record is from RNAcentral.
GACGAACGCUGGCGGCGUGCUUAACACAUGCAAGUCGAACGGAAAGGCCCUGCUUUUGUGGGGUGCUCGAGUGGCGAACGGGUGAGUAACACGUGAGUAACCUGCCCUUGACUUUGGGAUAACUUCAGGAAACUGGGGCUAAUACCGGAUAGGAGCUCCUGCUGCAUGGUGGGGGUUGGAAAGUUUCGGCGGUUGGGGAUGGACUCGCGGCUUAUCAGCUUGUUGGUGGGGUAGUGGCUUACCAAGGCUUUGACGGGUAGCCGGCCUGAGAGGGUGACCGGCCACAUUGGGACUGAGAUACGGCCCAGACUCCUACGGGAGGCAGCAGUGGGGAAUAUUGCACAAUGGGCGGAAGCCUGAUGCAGCAACGCCGCGUGCGGGAUGACGGCCUUCGGGUUGUAAACCGCUUUCGCCUGUGACGAAGCGUGAGUGACGGUAAUGGAUAAAGAAGCACCGGCUAACUACGUGCCAGCAGCCGCGGUGAUACGUAGGGUGCGAGCGUUGUCCGGAUUUAUUGGGCGUAAAGAGCUCGUAGGUGGUUGAUCGCGUCGGAAGUGUAAUCUUGGGGCUUAACCCUGAGCGUGCUUUCGAUACGGGUUGACUUGAGGAAGGUAGGGGAGAAUGGAAUUCCUGGUGGAGCGGUGGAAUGCGCAGAUAUCAGGAGGAACACCAGUGGCGAAGGCGGUUCUCUGGGCCUUUCCUGACGCUGAGGAGCGAAAGCGUGGGGAGCGAACAGGCUUAGAUACCCUGGUAGUCCACGCUGUAAACGGUGGGUACUAGGUGUGGGGUCCAUUCCACGGGUUCCGUGCCGUAGCUAACGCUUUAAGUACCCCGCCUGGGGAGUACGGCCGCAAGGCUAAAACUCAAAGGAAUUGACGGGGCCCCGCACAAGCGGCGGAGCAUGCGGAUUAAUUCGAUGCAACGCGUAGAACCUUACCUGGGUUUGACAUGGAUCGGGAGUGCUCAGAGAUGGGUGUGCCUCUUUUGGGGUCGGUUCACAGGUGGUGCAUGGCUGUCGCCAGCUCGUGUCGUGAGAUGUUGGGUUAAGUCCCGCAACGAGCGCAACCCUUGUUCACUGUUGCCAGCACGUUAUGGUGGGGACUCAGUGGAGACCGCCGGGGUCAACUCGGAGGAAGGUGGGGAUGACGUCAAGUCAUCAUGCCCCUUAUGUCCAGGGCUUCACGCAUGCUACAAUGGCUGGUACAGAGAGUGGCGAGCCUGUGAGGGUGAGCGAAUCUCGGAAAGUCGGUCUCAGUUCGGAUUGGGGUCUGCAACUCGACCUCAUGAAGUCGGAGUCGCUAGUAAUCGCAGAUCAGCAACGCUGCGGUGAAUACGUUCCCGGGGCU